Ribosomal RNA from Phaeodactylum tricornutum CCAP 1055/1, 118 nucleotides. The record is from Rfam. NCBI's taxonomy places the organism in Eukaryota, Bacillariophyta, Bacillariophyceae, Surirellales, Neidiaceae.
CAAAUCAGCUACUGUUUCAGGAAUGACCGCUUCCCGUCUGCUCAGCGAAGUUUAGCAUCGUCGGGCUCGGUUAGUACUUCGGUGGGGGACCACGUUGGAAUCCCGAGUGUUGUUUUUU